CCAUUAGCACACUACAUCACACACCAGCGGCCAUCGCCCGUCGCCUUAGACCGGUGCCGCAACCGCCACCGCCUCGCGUUGCUGCAGCCCGAGUUCUACACUACCUUUACACCGCCGCUGCAAACCACCGUCGUUCUGCACCGCCGCUGCAAACCACCGUCGCCGUCUUGCAAGCACAUGGAUCCAGAUGCUGCGAGGGGCGGUGACCACCGGGGGCGCUAGGGGGCACGGCCGCGUAUGCGCGAGCGCAGGCUUGGCUACUAAGCCGUCGAUGUAGCAUGGGCGGUGAUUCGCUCAGCAUCUCUGUUGCAGAAGCACGCCGACGCUGCAUACCCGAGCCACCAGCGAACUACUGCGGCUGCACAGCAGUGUUGUGGGGCAACGAACGCCACUGCAAAAUACGACGUCGAGCACCAUUGCAGCGGAAGGGACAUCGACGCUGCACUGGCCGGCGAUGUUGUGCCACACGACGGAGCGUGGUAAGGCUGCAGUGGCUGGCGUUGUUGUGCCACACGAUGGACACUCAUCGGCGGCCGCGGGUGCUGCAAUGUAGCGCUCGUCGGCGGCUCAUUGCUCCGUCGGGGCUGUAAUGAAGCGUUGCCGGAGUUGCAGUGAAGCGCCGCAGGGUCGUUGAAUCUCCAUCGGGACUGCAAUGAAGCGUUGCCGUAAUUGCAGUGAAGGGCUGCAGGGUCGUUGAAUCUUCAUCGGGGUUGCAAUGGAGCGCCGCGGCGGGUCAUUGAAGCUCCGCCGGGGCUGCAAUGAAACUUUGCCGGAGCUGCAGUGAAGCGCCACGGGGUCAUUGAAUCUCCGCCGGGCGCCGUCAGUGCUUCGCUCCGAGCGCUGCUGCCAUGGAAGCUGUUGCGCUGAAGCUUUUUGCCGUGCUGGCUCUGGUGCUGUGAGGUAGCCGACGCAGCAGAGAAGGAAGACGAGGUAGUUGGUGCUUCUGUGCGUGAUCGACGGGAGAACAGAGAGAGACGACGGCUCUGUUUGUUGCGAUCGAACGGCCAGUUUCCAUCAGAUCGGACGGUUGUUUAGGCGGAUGAUUUCGCGGUUGAUUUGUAGCAACGCCCAUGAUUUAACGAGGACAGAGUGUAUAGCAGUAACAUAGCUGGUUACGUAACUUCGCGCUUCAUACAACAAAUUUUUAAUGCAAACCGAUCCGCUUCGGCGUCCCCAUCGCGAAGAAAAAGAAAAAAAAAACAGCUUUCCCUACCGCUCCAUCCUCUCCUUCCCUGCCGCCUCCAUCCUCUCCCUCGCUGCCGCCUCCAUCUCCCUCGCCACGCUCUCCGUCUCGCCGGCCGGCGGCGCGAAGCCACCCGAAUCGUGGCCAAGUCUGGUGCCCGUAGGGAGGCGGCGCCAGUUCGGUCAUUGGCGACUUCGCCGCCGCAGCAGCACGUCCCCGGCGCCCCGGCAAGCUCGUGCGCCAGCCACUGGCCACAACAACUUUUCUACCCCGACGCUCUGACGAGCUCGUCCGCCAGCCCGUCGACACCAUCGUACCUGUAUGGGCGCCGCUGGGGAAGAAGCGUGACGUGGAAUGCAUGAACGAGACUAUGGAGCUGAUCAAGACGACCAUGGUGAAGGCACGACAAGGGACGACUGCUUGAUCAUGAGACCCCUACUUUUAGCUAUCUAUCUACUUGAUGCUCCGCUUUUGUGCUCUUGAACUUCUGGCUGUUGCCUGCUUAGCUUUAUUCUGAGCCUUGGGUUCGAUGACUGUUUUAUUCGGUUUGUAAGACUUAAGUAUGUGUGGAUCCUGCCUGGUGGCUUUAUUAAUUUAAAGCCGGACGCUCCUAGCGUCUAUGUUCCAAGAAAAA
Long non-coding RNA from Aegilops tauschii subsp. strangulata, 1817 nucleotides. RefSeq lists it as uncharacterized. NCBI's taxonomy places the organism in Eukaryota, Viridiplantae, Streptophyta, Magnoliopsida, Poales, Poaceae. The record is from RefSeq and is a predicted model, not a curated record.